UGGGGAAUAUUGGACAAUGGGCGCAAGCCUGAUCCAGCCAUGCCGCGUGAGUGAAGAAGGCCUUCGGGUUGUAAAGCUCUUUUGUCCGGAAAGAAAAGCAUUCGGUUAAUAACCGGGUGUCAUGACGGUACCGGAAGAAUAAGCACCGGCUAACUUCGUGCCAGCAGCCGCGGUAAUACGAAGGGUGCAAGCGUUACUCGGAAUUACUGGGCGUAAAGCGUGCGUAGGUGGUUCGUUAAGUCUGAUGUGAAAGCCCUGGGCUCAACCUGGGAAUGGCAUUGGAUACUGGCGGACUGGAGUGCGGUAGAGGAUGGCGGAAUUCCUGGUGUAGCAGUGAAAUGCGUAGAGAUCGGGAGGAACAUCCGUGGCGAAGGCGGCCAUCUGGACCAGCACUGACACUGAGGCACGAAAGCGUGGGGAGCAAACA
Molecule: ribosomal RNA, 427 nt
Filed under: uncultured prokaryote
Description: bacterial SSU rRNA
Rfam family: Bacterial small subunit ribosomal RNA
Source: RNAcentral